CCUACGGGUGGCAGCAGUGGGGAAUAUUGCACAAUGGGGGAAACCCUGAUGCAGCAACGCCGCGUGAGUGAAGAAGGUUUUCUGAUUGUUAAGCCCCGUUAGCAGGGAAGAGGAAGGACGGUAUCUGCAGAGGAAGCCACGGCUCACUACGGGCCAGCAGCCGCGGUAAUACGGAGGAUGCGAGCGUUAUCCGGAUUUAUGGGGUUUAAAGGGUGCGUAGGCGGACUAUCAAGUCAGCGGUAAAAAUUCGGGGCUCAACCCCGUCGUGCCGUUGAAACUGAUGUUCUUGAGUGGGCGAGAAGUAUGCGGAAUGCGUGGUGUAGCGGUGAAAUGCAUAGAUAUCACGCAGAACUCCGAUUGCGAAGGCAGCAUACCGGCGCCCAACUGACGCUGAAGCACGAAAGCGUGGGUAUCGAACAGGAUUAGAUACCCUUGUAGUC
RNAcentral lists this ribosomal RNA (440 nucleotides) under uncultured bacterium. RNAcentral describes it as "partial 16S ribosomal RNA". It matches the Rfam family "Bacterial small subunit ribosomal RNA", at positions 338 to 795 of the family's 1533-position model. The record is from RNAcentral.